AGCAGUCGCCGCGGGAAUACGGAGGAUCCAAGCGUUAUCCGGAUUGAUUGGGUUUAAAGGGUGCGUAGGUGGCCUGUUAAGUCAGGGGUGAAAGACGGUAGCUCAACUAUCGCAGUGCCCUUGAUACUGAUGGGCUUGAAUGAACUAGAGGUAGGCGGAAUGUGACAAGUAGCGGUGAAAUGCAUAGAUAUGUCACAGAACACCAAUUGCGAAGGCAGCUUACUAUGGUUUGAUUGACACUGAGGCACGAAAGCGUGGGGAUCAAACAGGAUUAGAUACCCCGGUAGUCCCUGUCUCUUAUAU
This 303-nucleotide ribosomal RNA is filed under the name uncultured bacterium. Its description in RNAcentral is "partial 16S ribosomal RNA". It matches the Rfam family "Bacterial small subunit ribosomal RNA", at positions 507 to 809 of the family's 1533-position model. The record is from RNAcentral.